RNAcentral lists this long non-coding RNA (1990 nucleotides) under Lactuca sativa (garden lettuce). RNAcentral's name for it is "long non-coding RNA (LSAT_LNC002259)". The stretch from base 413 to 508 matches the Rfam family "Small nucleolar RNA snoR31/Z110/Z27". Lineage: Eukaryota; Viridiplantae; Streptophyta; Magnoliopsida; Asterales; Asteraceae. The record is from RNAcentral.
GACAACAAUAUACAUUCAACCAAACACCAUAUUAUAGCGGCUGCAAAUCUAAUCUGCCGCUAGGGUUUUAUAACAAUUUUCCACUAUAAAACUAGCCUUUCUUCUCCUCUCUCUCCAUCCUAUUCAGUUUCAUUCCCACCUCUUCCUUUCUCAAGCCAUAGAAGAAAUCUAUCGCCGACUUAAUCGGGCUUACGUUUCUGUUUUUAAAAUUCGAUUUUUUAUGAGAUGAGGAUAAUGGAGCGGAGAUGAUUUAAUAUCAAAUGAUCCCGAUAUCUCCUUGCUACGUUCUUUCUGAUCAUAAUAUUUGGUUUGUUUUAAUCUCCUUUUUAUAUACUCUUUAGUUCUGUGUUGAUUUAUGUUGCUUUGGAUUAUUUUUUUUUUGAGAUUUUGCGUGGAUGCGAGAAUUGAAAUCAUCAAAGAUGAUGAAAUCAGAAAAAUCUUAGGACACCUUCUGACACAGUUUGACAAUGCUGUGUAUGAGAAAGCAUUUUUUGUUUCUGAUUUUGAUGAUUUCUUUAUAAAAAUUUGUAUCCAUUGCAGAUCGUUUUUUCCGAUUAGAUUCAUAAAAUUUUCAACAUCAAUAUUGCGAAACUUAUUAUCAAAAAAGAUUAUUUUUUUAGGGUUUAAUGACUUGUCCUGAAUUGGUUAUCGUGCAUCCAAAUUUUGUCUUUAAGUUUAUUUUACAUAUUUACUUAUUUAGUCUUUUAUGGUGUUAGUUUAUAACAAUAAAUUUUAUAUUUUUACACAUUGAAUUCUCUACGAUUUCGGGUCAGAUCAUAGAAAAAUAGCCUAUCAGUGGUACUCUAUAGUCUAGAGAGAUAAAAACUAACGCAUACGGGAAUAAAAGUUAUAGAAUGAAGUUUGAUAGAAGUGUCAAACAUUCGUUGAACUAAUACUAAUACAGUUAGUGUAUUGUUUAUCAUUCCCUCUCAUUGCAGUUGUGAAAUCUGAAGUAUUCUGGAGAAGAAGACGAAUCAAAAUAGAUGGGGCUUCUGGAUAUCGAAGAUGUCUUGUAUCUCCCCUCGUUGCAAAAGGAUCUAAAAUACUCAUCAUUUAGGUGAUAGGACUUCGUAUACUAUUCCAAUGUACUUACUUCAAAAUUGUCUAUUAUCAAAGUUAAAUAAUCACAUACAUUUACAACCCAAGGAUCAAAUCAAACCCUGAUUUUAACUAGCGAAUGUAGGUUCUGACACCAGAGAGACAUGGUUUCCGAUCUAUCAAGUGUAAGGGGAUAUGUUAGUUGAACCUACGUGCACAUGAAUAACAUCAACAAUCUCCUUAAGAGGAGACAUGGUUGUAUAUACUUUGCCUCAUUCCAAACAUAUCUAGAAUAUAGAUUCAUCUAAUAAAAAUCACAAAAUGCAUAAUCUAUAUCAUCAAUAUUCAAUUCGGAAAGAUGAUUAGAACUAAUGACAAUUCAUUACCAUGUAAGAUAUGAUACCCACCGGAAGACCAUCAACGGUCAAGUAACUACUAAGAAUUUUCCUUAUCUGAUAAGACGCCGGAUUUUGCGAGAACAUGCUUCCAUGAAUGUAUUCGACUAGACAAUUCCAUACAUAGCUAUGUCAAUAAGUAAUUUCGAACAAAAAAUCAAUUUUACGACAUGAAACUGCAAAGUUACUCAAAUUGAAUAAGAUACGUAGUAUAGUUAAACGAAAGCGUUUGCGAUGAUUGCUGUGGUCUGCAGAGGAGAGUGUCAAAUGAGUUUUUGGAGAUGGAUUCUUGUAAGCGACUCCAUAGAGAAGUAGAACUCUGAACGGGAAGGGAAACUAUGCAGUAUCUUGUAGAGAUUGUUGUUCAUAAUUCUUAGAGGUUCCCGAUUUGUGAAUUGAAAUAUGGUUUUGCAACAGAGAAUCAAAAGGGGGAAAAUUAACGAGAUCUCUCCUCUCUCCAGGCAGUUGUCUGUCGGAUCAACAACCCGGUCCCCCUUUUUCAAUGACAUUAAUGGGGUGUUUGGAUAGGAAAAAAUAAGCUGUUUAUUAUUUAAUCC